Cynocephalus volans (Philippine flying lemur) is the source of this 295-nucleotide long non-coding RNA. RefSeq lists it as uncharacterized. The record is from RefSeq and is a predicted model, not a curated record. Lineage: Eukaryota; Metazoa; Chordata; Mammalia; Dermoptera; Cynocephalidae. The transcript has 3 exons.
GAAGAGAAAGUUCUAUUCUUGGGACGAAUGUUUGAACUUGAGAGAAGUUAAGUCUCUGAAGAAACUUAAUCAUGCCAAUGUGAUUAAACUGAAAGAUGUUAUCAGAGAAAAUGACCAUCUUUAUUUUAUAUUUGAAUAUAUAAAAGAAAACCUCUAUCAAUUAAUGAAAGACAGAGUGCUGACAACAUCCUAGUGACUUCUGAGCAACCGAGAUGCGAGCUGCGAAGGGUUGAAAGCUUCAUCCUUGGCCCGGACUUGGAGUUGAGGACAGUGGGCCAGGCUGGGCGGGUUGGGG